AGUGAACGCUGGCGGUAGGCCUAACACAUGCAAGUCGAACGGCAGCACAGUAAGAGCUUGCUCUUACGGGUGGCGAGUGGCGGACGGGUGAGGAAUACAUCGGAAUCUACUUUUUCGUGGGGGAUAACGUAGGGAAACUUACGCUAAUACCGCAUACGACCUACGGGUGAAAGCAGGGGAUCUUCGGACCUUGCGCGAUUGAAUGAGCCGAUGUCGGAUUAGCUAGUUGGCGGGGUAAAGGCCCACCAAGGCGACGAUCCGUAGCUGGUCUGAGAGGAUGACCAGCCACACUGGAACUGAGACACGGUCCAGACUCCUACGGGAGGCAGCAGUGGGGAAUAUUGGACAAUGGGCGCAAGCCUGAUCCAGCCAUACCGCGUGGGUGAAGAAGGCCUUCGGGUUGUAAAGCCCUUUUGUUGGGAAAGAAAAGCAGCAGGUUAAUACCCCGCUGUUCUGACGGUACCCAAAGAAUAAGCACCGGCUAACUUCGU
This 491-nucleotide ribosomal RNA is filed under the name uncultured bacterium. Its description in RNAcentral is "partial 16S ribosomal RNA". It matches the Rfam family "Bacterial small subunit ribosomal RNA", at positions 29 to 506 of the family's 1533-position model. The record is from RNAcentral.